AGGGAAAGUUGCAAAGAACUUUGAAGAGAGAGUUCAAGAGUACGUGAAACUGUUCAGGGGCAAACGGGUGGGCCCUUGAAGUUCGCGCGGAGGGGGAUUCCGUCCCCGGCCGCCGGGGCGGUUUGCCGUUCGGUUGGAUUUUUGGGCGAGCCCCGACCGCGGCCCGGCCGAGUCCUUGGGCCGGAGAAGCCUUUUCCCCUUCCGGAGGACGCCGCAGCCUUUCGGGGUCCGGCAAUGAGGACCCGUGCGAGCCGGUGGCGUGGAAGUUGGUCUUGAACCGGCGUUCCGUGUUUGGCCCCCGGAUCCGGGCCCGGUUCCCGAGAGAGGGAACCGGCCCCGUUCGCGGGGCUUGCCGUUGCCUUGCCCCCAGGGCGAGCGGGGUCCGAGUACCAGGGACGCCGAGCGUUCCGAGCGUCACCGGGCGGUGGCGCCGGGCUCGCGGUACCCGGUGGGUCUCGGACCGCCGCGGGGCGGGCACGCGGCUUGCGGCGAGUAGGUCGGUAACCCACCCGACCCGUCUUGAAACACGGACCAAGGAGUCUAACAUGUGCGCGAGUCAGUGGGACUCGAACAAGCCCACGGGCGGAACGAAGGUGAGGCGUGUCGGGAUCCCCGGUCCGCGAGGCCGGGGCGCACCGGAGGCCUGGGUGCUCCGCCGAUUCCUGCGGGCGCCCGGUGUCUGAGCGCAUGCGUUGGGACCCGAACAGAUGGUGAACUAUGCCCGGGCAGGUCGAAGCUAGAGGAAACUCUGGUGGAGGACCGCAGCG
RNAcentral lists this ribosomal RNA (767 nucleotides) under Pholcus sp. G044. Its description in RNAcentral is "partial 28S ribosomal RNA". It matches the Rfam family "Eukaryotic large subunit ribosomal RNA", at positions 356 to 882 of the family's 3401-position model. Lineage: Eukaryota; Metazoa; Arthropoda; Arachnida; Araneae; Pholcidae. The record is from RNAcentral.